ACUCUAGUAUUAGCACCUAUCCAGAUGUGUUGAGGUGGAUUUGAGUGUAAAUUAGUUUAAGUUACACCCCAAUCCACCUCAAUACAUGUGGAUUAGGGUCAAUACUAGA
Molecule: microRNA precursor, 109 nt
Filed under: Zea mays
Lineage: Eukaryota; Viridiplantae; Streptophyta; Magnoliopsida; Poales; Poaceae
Description: MIR5565 microRNA precursor family
Rfam family: MIR5565 microRNA precursor family
Source: Rfam by way of RNAcentral